RNAcentral lists this unclassified non-coding RNA (430 nucleotides) under Hevea brasiliensis (rubber tree). Lineage: Eukaryota; Viridiplantae; Streptophyta; Magnoliopsida; Malpighiales; Euphorbiaceae. The record is from RNAcentral.
AGAAAACCGCCCAUGAAAUCCUCACCUUCUCCUUAUUAACAAGUCCCCUGUGAAGAAUACUCUUGUAUUUGCCAUUGCUUAAGAUCUCAAUAGUGUCACCAAUGUGCAUGAUGAUAGAAUUUGGGACGCAUUUGGCUGUCACCCACUUGCCUUGAUAGAAGAGUUGCAGACCUGGAACCAUGUUGUGAAGGAUGAAAGUGAGGGCACUUAUAUCGGUGUGAGCUUCAACUCCUAGGGCAAGAUCUGGUUGAGGGCACUUGGGGUAGUAGUUGAUCUUCAUUUGGAGUAGCAGCUCUUCAAGUCCACCAACCUCUUUUUCUAGUCUGCCUUCUUCCAGUCCCAACCCAAUUGAUAGUACUGACAAAAUUUUGGUCGCUAGGCCUCUCAGUUGCCUUGCAUACUCACUGGUCACCUCAAUGUAGUCGUUGGG